RNAcentral lists this ribosomal RNA (593 nucleotides) under Saccharomyces cerevisiae (brewer's yeast). RNAcentral's name for it is "eukaryotic LSU rRNA". It matches the Rfam family "Eukaryotic large subunit ribosomal RNA", at positions 40 to 647 of the family's 3401-position model. Lineage: Eukaryota; Fungi; Ascomycota; Saccharomycetes; Saccharomycetales; Saccharomycetaceae. The record is from RNAcentral.
AUAUCAAUAAGCGGAGGAAAAGAAACCAACCGGGAUUGCCUUAGUAACGGCGAGUGAAGCGGCAAAAGCUCAAAUUUGAAAUCUGGUACCUUCGGUGCCCGAGUUGUAAUUUGGAGAGGGCAACUUUGGGGCCGUUCCUUGUCUAUGUUCCUUGGAACAGGACGUCAUAGAGGGUGAGAAUCCCGUGUGGCGAGGAGUGCGGUUCUUUGUAAAGUGCCUUCGAAGAGUCGAGUUGUUUGGGAAUGCAGCUCUAAGUGGGUGGUAAAUUCCAUCUAAAGCUAAAUAUUGGCGAGAGACCGAUAGCGAACAAGUACAGUGAUGGAAAGAUGAAAAGAACUUUGAAAAGAGAGUGAAAAAGUACGUGAAAUUGUUGAAAGGGAAGGGCAUUUGAUCAGACAUGGUGUUUUGUGCCCUCUGCUCCUUGUGGGUAGGGGAAUCUCGCAUUUCACUGGGCCAGCAUCAGUUUUGGUGGCAGGAUAAAUCCAUAGGAAUGUAGCUUGCCUCGGUAAGUAUUAUAGCCUGUGGGAAUACUGCCAGCUGGGACUGAGGACUGCGACGUAAGUCAAGGAUGCUGGCAUAAUGGUUAUAUGCCG